AACAUGACCAAAAAGAAGCCAACAGCUAUGAGGAUCAUCCCUGCUAGUUUCAUUCCCACGAAGUGGGCUCCAUACAACACUACAUCCAAAGCUGGAGAUGAACACAAUGCAUAUGUCAUUAUCAGGCUCUCAUGGUCAAUACACAGCAGAGUUCUUCCUAAGCAGCUUUUUCCUUGUGAUUGAAACUGGAACAGCUGUGAUGAGGCCGAGGGUGAUGAACAAAUCGUAAGUUAGUGCCACACUGAAGUUCCCCAGGAGAUUGGCAGCUGCAAAAGGAACAAGAGGAAGUGUGUGGUAUGAACACAUGAACUGUAAUACUGAAGUGCAAUACUGGCUUACGAGGAGUGGAACAGCAUGUAUGGCACAUUGGAAGGGAGAUGAAAGGAAGUGGUAGUUUCCCAUUUUGAGAACCUGCAGCUGCACAAGCAGCCAGCACCACACCACCCAGUGUGGGACUGCCAGUGAUGCCAUCCAUAUAAGCAAGCAGGGCUAUCCCCGUAUCACACAGGAUCACAGCCACAAUCUAGGGAUGAGAAUCAACUGCUGAAAAUGGAUUUUCAACACAAGAAACUUUGUUUGGUUUUACCUUCAUGAUAAUUUAAAAUUGGUCUUCUUUCUGUGGUUCCAAGAAAUGUAAGCCAGACUUCAGAACCUCUUUGUAAGCUGCAUGUACUGAACUUUCUGUAUAUCACCUACAGCCUCUUCAUUUCAGACAUUAGUUGAUUUUGUGAAAUUUUAUUCAUUACAAUUUUAUAGAAAAUCUCCUUCAUCUUGGAAAUUUCUAACUCCCUGACACCAAUAAUACUACUGUUAAGGGCAUGCAAACUAGUGAGAGGGAAACAUCAGUAUUAUUCAAUACAAGAGUAUGAAUCAUGUAUUAUGACAGAUACUAUAACAUGCAAGUUUCACCAAUAUCAUUUUUAAGAGAAAUAAAAAAUAUUACUACAGCAAUUGUGUGAAAUAUUUCGGUAACAUGAUUGAUGAAUCAUUGUAAUCUGUCUAUAAAAUUUGUCUGUGAUAUGUUAUAAA
Cryptotermes secundus is the source of this 1029-nucleotide long non-coding RNA. RefSeq lists it as uncharacterized. The transcript has 4 exons. Lineage: Eukaryota; Metazoa; Arthropoda; Insecta; Blattodea; Kalotermitidae. The record is from RefSeq and is a predicted model, not a curated record.